RNAcentral lists this ribosomal RNA (560 nucleotides) under Streptomyces albogriseolus. RNAcentral's name for it is "bacterial SSU rRNA". It matches the Rfam family "Bacterial small subunit ribosomal RNA", at positions 84 to 657 of the family's 1533-position model. The record is from RNAcentral. Lineage: Bacteria; Bacillati; Actinomycetota; Actinomycetes; Kitasatosporales; Streptomycetaceae.
GGUGGGGAUUAGUGGCGAACGGGUGAGUAACACGUGGGCAAUCUGCCCUGCACUCUGGGACAAGCCCUGGAAACGGGGUCUAAUACCGGAUACUGACCCGCUUGGGCAUCCAAGCGGUUCGAAAGCUCCGGCGGUGCAGGAUGAGCCCGCGGCCUAUCAGCUUGUUGGUGAGGUAAUGGCUCACCAAGGCGACGACGGGUAGCCGGCCUGAGAGGGCGACCGGCCACACUGGGACUGAGACACGGCCCAGACUCCUACGGGAGGCAGCAGUGGGGAAUAUUGCACAAUGGGCGAAAGCCUGAUGCAGCGACGCCGCGUGAGGGAUGACGGCCUUCGGGUUGUAAACCUCUUUCAGCAGGGAAGAAGCGAAAGUGACGGUACCUGCAGAAGAAGCGCCGGCUAACUACGUGCCAGCAGCCGCGGUAAUACGUAGGGCGCGAGCGUUGUCCGGAAUUAUUGGGCGUAAAGAGCUCGUAGGCGGCUUGUCACGUCGGUUGUGAAAGCCCGGGGCUUAACCCCGGGUCUGCAGUCGAUACGGGCAGGCUAGAGUUCGGUAGGGG